Molecule: long non-coding RNA, 402 nt
Organism: Ruditapes philippinarum (Manila clam)
Lineage: Eukaryota; Metazoa; Mollusca; Bivalvia; Venerida; Veneridae
Exons: 3
Source: RefSeq, a predicted model, not a curated record
CCAGCAUCUGAUUGUUUUGACAUUCAGAAAAUGUUGGUCAAAGAAAUGGUAUAUAUGGAAUCCGGCUGUGGAAAUCUAAAGUCUAUAAAGAAAUAUACUGCGAUUUAGAUACUGCCGGCGGCGGAUGGUCGGUGUUCCAAAGACGGUUUAAUGGUUCAGUGGACUUCUACCGGAAUCAUGCUAAUUACACCGUUGGUUUUGGACAUAGUAACGGCGAAUUCUGGCUAGGGCUUCAUUAUAUAUUUGAAUUAUCGUCGCAAAGCAAGACAGAAUAACGAAUAGAUGUAGAAGCAGCACACGGUUCCAAAGCGUUUGAACUAUACACAAACUUUCGUUUAGACGAAGGCGACUAUAGGCUAUACAUCGAUCAAGGUUCGGCUCAACAGGUACAAUGUUUACAGU